AAAAAAGUCUUUUAAAAAAACGAGCCUUAGAGUGGUCUUUGGCUAUUUUUUUUA
Molecule: transfer RNA, 54 nt
Filed under: Echinophyllia aspera
Lineage: Eukaryota; Metazoa; Cnidaria; Anthozoa; Scleractinia; Lobophylliidae
Description: tRNA-Ser
Source: RNAcentral